GAACGCACCGCAAGGUGAGUGGCAGACGGGUGAGUAACGCGUGGGAACCUUCCCUGUGGUACGGAAUAACUUCGGGAAACCGAAGCUAAUACCGUAUAUCCCCUCCGGGGGAAAGAUUUAUCGCCGAAGGAUCGGCCCGCGCCCGAUUAGCUAGUUGGUGGGGUAAUGGCUCACCAAGGCGACGAUCGGUAGCUGGUCUGAGAGGAUGAUCAGCCUCACUGGGACUGAGACACGGCCCAGACUCCUACGGGAGGCAGCAGUGGGGAAUAUUGGACAAUGGGCGCAAGCCUGAUCCAGCCAUGCCGCGUGGGUGAUGAAGGCCUUAGGGUUGUAAAGCCCUUUCGGCGGGGAAGAUAAUGACGGUACCCGCAGAAGAAGCCCCGGCUAACUUCGUG
This 395-nucleotide ribosomal RNA is filed under the name uncultured bacterium. Its description in RNAcentral is "bacterial SSU rRNA". It matches the Rfam family "Bacterial small subunit ribosomal RNA", at positions 64 to 507 of the family's 1533-position model. The record is from RNAcentral.